This 253-nucleotide ribosomal RNA is filed under the name uncultured bacterium. RNAcentral describes it as "partial 16S ribosomal RNA". It matches the Rfam family "Bacterial small subunit ribosomal RNA", at positions 524 to 776 of the family's 1533-position model. The record is from RNAcentral.
UACGUAGGGUGCGAGCGUUGUCCGGAAUUAUUGGGCGUAAAGAGCUUGUAGGCGGUUUGUCGCGUCUGCUGUGAAAAUCCGGGGCUCAACCCCGGACUUGCAGUGGGUACGGGCAGACUAGAGUGUGGUAGGGGAGACUGGAAUUCCUGGUGUAGCGGUGAAAUGCGCAGAUAUCAGGAGGAACACCAAUGGCGAAGGCAGCACUCUGGGACGUGACUGACGCUGAGAAGCGAAAGCAUGGGGAGCGAACAGG